UAAUACGGAGGAUGCAAGCGUUCUCCGGAUUCAUUGGGUUUAAAGGGUGCGCAGGCGGAUUAAUAAGUCAGUGGUGAAAUCCUACGGCUCAACUGUAGAACUGCCAUUGAUACUGUUAGUCUUGAGUAUUGUUGAGGUAGGCGGAAUGUGUCAUGUAGCGGUGAAAUGCUUAGAUAUGACACAGAACACCGAUCGCGAAGGCAGCUUACCAAGCAAUAACUGACGCUCAUGCACGAAAGCGUGGGGAUCAAACAGGAUUAGAUACCCUGGUAGUCCACGCUGUAAACGAUGAACACUCGAUGUUGGCGAUACACAGUCAGCGUCUGAGCGAAAGUAUUAAGUGUUCCACCUGGGGAGUACGGUCGCAAGAUUGAAACUCAAAUGAAUUGACGG
This 393-nucleotide ribosomal RNA is filed under the name uncultured bacterium. RNAcentral describes it as "bacterial SSU rRNA". It matches the Rfam family "Bacterial small subunit ribosomal RNA", at positions 521 to 916 of the family's 1533-position model. The record is from RNAcentral.